RNAcentral lists this ribosomal RNA (280 nucleotides) under uncultured bacterium. RNAcentral describes it as "partial 16S ribosomal RNA". It matches the Rfam family "Bacterial small subunit ribosomal RNA", at positions 506 to 784 of the family's 1533-position model. The record is from RNAcentral.
UGCCAGCCGCCGCGGUAAUACGGAGGGUGCGAGCGUUAAUCGGAAUCACUGGGCGUAAAGCGUACGUAGGUGGCAAAGUCAGUCGGGCGUGAAAGCCCUCGGCUCAACCGAGGAAUUGCGUUUGAUACUACUUUGCUAGAGUCUCGGAGAGGUUGGCGGAAUUCCAGGUGUAGGAGUGAAAUCCGUAGAUAUCUGGAGGAACACCUGUGGCGAAGGCGGCUUCCUGGGCCAUUACUGACGCUGAGGCACGAAAGCGUUGGGUAGCAAACGGGAUUAGAUA